UAAUACGUAGGUGGCGAGCGUUGUCCGGAUUUAUUGGGUUUAAAGGGUGCGUAGGCGGCUCAUUAAGUCAGUUGUGAAAUACGACAGCUUAACUGUCGAGGUGCAAUUGAUACUGGUGAGCUUGAGUACUGAUGAGGUAGGCGGAAUGGACGGUGUAGCGGUGAAAUGCUUAGAGAUCGUCCAGAACACCGAUAGCGAAGGCAGCUUACUAAGGAGUAACUGACGCUGAGGCACGAAAGUGUGGGGAUCAAACAGGAUUAGAUACCCUGGUAGUCCACACUGUAAACGAUGAUUACUCGAUGUUGGCGAUACACAGCCAGCGUCUUAGCAAAAGCGAUAAGUAAUCCACCUGGGGAGUACGCCGGCAACGGUGAAACUCAAAUGAAUUGACGG
This 393-nucleotide ribosomal RNA is filed under the name uncultured bacterium. RNAcentral's name for it is "bacterial SSU rRNA". It matches the Rfam family "Bacterial small subunit ribosomal RNA", at positions 521 to 916 of the family's 1533-position model. The record is from RNAcentral.